GCAAACUUGGUCAUUUAGAGGAAGUAAAAGUCGUAACAAGGUCUCCGUUGGUGAACCAGCGGAGGGAUCAUUAUCGAGUUUACAACUCCCAAAUCCCAUGUGAACUUAUACUCUCAUGUUGCUUCGGCGGGUUUUUCGCCCCGGAACCAGGCCCGCGAGGGCCGAACCGGAACCAGGCGCCCGCCGGGGGACGGACCCCAACAAAACACUCUUUGUAUUUCCUUUGCAUGUCUGAGUGGAAUCAUAUAAAAUAAUGAAUCAAAACUUUCAACAACGGAUCUCUUGGUUCUGGCAUCGAUGAAGAACGCAGC
This 311-nucleotide unclassified non-coding RNA is filed under the name uncultured fungus. Its description in RNAcentral is "partial contains small subunit ribosomal RNA, internal transcribed spacer 1, and 5.8S ribosomal RNA". The stretch from base 1 to 73 matches the Rfam family "Eukaryotic small subunit ribosomal RNA", at positions 1759 to 1831 of the family's 1831-position model. The record is from RNAcentral. Lineage: Eukaryota; Fungi.